UUCUACACCUUCCGUUCGUUCAGCUUUUAGCUGCUUAAUUUGUGAUUUAUAAUUGGACAACAUUACACAAUACGAUAAAUUUGCAUCAUGUCAAACACAAAAGAAACAAGGAAAGGAUUAAAAAGAAAGUUUAUAUCGCUUGAAGAUAAAAUCCAAAUUUUAAAUCGUUUAGAAGGCGGGGGAAAAAUAUUGUCUGUUGCAAAAUCAAUAAAUUUGAAUGAAUCUACAAUUCGAACCUUAAAGAAAAAAGCAGAUAAUAUAAGGAAAACGAAUGGGUGCCAAAUCUCGAUUUACAAGAUGUGAAAAAAGGGCUAAAUUUGGCUAAAGAAUUAUAACUUCAUUUCAUUCAAACUGAUCGUUCAACGGUGAUCAAAAGUUUAAAAGAGAGUGAAGAAAUUGCUUAGCUCCCUAUAGAGAGGUUUUAGUGGAGUUAGAAAAAAAAGCUACGAUCGGAAACCAAUGUGAAGAAGAAUCAAGUGAAGAAGACAUUUUGCCCAUUAAAAGAAGACGAGUUAGGCGACUCAUAUCUGACAGCGAGGAUGAAUGUUGAAAAAUAAAUAAUUUUACAAAAGUCUUUCUUGUUUUUGUUGGAAAACAGUCUUUUAGUUUAGUUUUUGUUUCAUUUUUUUCGUCAAUCCUUAUAUGAACUCUUCAAUUCAAUAAAAAUAAUUCAUAAUUUA
This is a long non-coding RNA of Cimex lectularius (bed bug), 680 nucleotides long. RefSeq lists it as uncharacterized. NCBI's taxonomy places the organism in Eukaryota, Metazoa, Arthropoda, Insecta, Hemiptera, Cimicidae. The transcript has 2 exons. The record is from RefSeq and is a predicted model, not a curated record.